GCCCGGCUAGCUCAAUCGGUAGAGCGUGAGACUCUUACUAAGAUCAUCAUGAGGAUCAUCAUGAGACCCUCACGAUUGUGAAAAGAACCGAUCUCAAGGUUGUGGGUUCGACCCCCACGUCGGGCU
This is a non-coding RNA of Diaporthe sp. PMI_573, 126 nucleotides long. The record is from the annotation of a GenBank genome assembly. NCBI's taxonomy places the organism in Eukaryota, Fungi, Ascomycota, Sordariomycetes, Diaporthales, Diaporthaceae.